RNAcentral lists this non-coding RNA (23 nucleotides) under Rattus norvegicus (Norway rat). The record is from RNAcentral. Lineage: Eukaryota; Metazoa; Chordata; Mammalia; Rodentia; Muridae.
CCAAGACUUUUGGGAACGUGUAC